AGAGUUUGAUCCUGGCUUAGGAUGAACGCUGGCGGUGUGCCUUAAGCAUGCAAGUAGAACGGUCCCGAUGAUCCCGCAAGGGGCUAUCGGGGCAGUUGCAGACGGGUGAGUACAGCAUAGGAAUCUACCCAUUGGCGGGGAAUAACUUGGCGAAAGCCGGGCUAAUACCGCAUAAGAUCGCAAGAUGAAAGGCCUUAACGGGCCACCGAUGGAGGAGCCUAUGUCCUAUCAGCUAGUUGGCGGGGUAAUAGCCCACCAAGGCGACGACGGGUAGCUGGACUGAGAGGUUGGUCAGCCACAAUAGCACUGAGAUACGGGCUAUACGUCUACGGACGGCAGCAACUGGGAAUAUUGCGCAAUGGGCGAAAAACGCCUGACGCAGCGACACCGCGUGAAGGAUGAAGGUCUUAGGAUCGUAAACUUCUUUUGAUUCCCCAUAUGGGGAGUAGAAUAAGCACCUGCUAACCACGUGCCAGCCGCCGC
This 483-nucleotide ribosomal RNA is filed under the name uncultured bacterium. Its description in RNAcentral is "bacterial SSU rRNA". It matches the Rfam family "Bacterial small subunit ribosomal RNA", at positions 8 to 518 of the family's 1533-position model. The record is from RNAcentral.